UACAGAGGGGGCAAGCGUUGUUCGGAAUUACUGGGCGUAAAGGGCGCGUAGGCGGCCCGCUAAGUCGAACGUGAAAUCCCCGGGCUCAACCCGGGAACUGCGUCCGAUACUGGCAGGCUUGAAUCCGGGAGAGGGAUGCGGAAUUCCAGGUGUAGCGGUGAAAUGCGUAGAUAUCGGGAGGAACGCCGGUGGCGAAAGCGAUUCUCUGGUCCUUUCCUGACACUGAGGCGCGAAAGCUAGGGGAGCAAACAGG
This 253-nucleotide ribosomal RNA is filed under the name uncultured bacterium. RNAcentral's name for it is "partial 16S ribosomal RNA". It matches the Rfam family "Bacterial small subunit ribosomal RNA", at positions 524 to 776 of the family's 1533-position model. The record is from RNAcentral.